GAAAAAUAUAAUUAGUAAUGCAUGACUUUUAUACACUGUUUUUCAUGUGGCAGGUUUUACAAAGGAAGCAGACACAGAGAUAAAAAAUUCAUGGUUGAGGGCAGAAAUGGAAGAGCUCACAUCUCCACUUUCUCAGUCUGAUACAAUAUCCACAGGAGCUUGCUGCCUGACAAAUCAGUUAGAGAAUGGUGGAGCCCAGAAGCCCCAGCCAAAAACUGGAAUCUAUUUUCUUCUGUGGUACAAUGUAAACAGCUUGCAUACCGGAAAAAAAAAAAGAGAACAAUAUUUGUGAAAGCUCUGAUCCUGUUUAUACAUAUACAUAUACUGCCAGAGGAGAUAACACUCUUCUGAUAAAAGGCCUGCAUUUUGCAUCUCUUUAUUUGAUCACAUUCUCCAGGGGUAAGUGUUUCUUCUUCACCUAACACAUGCUGCUUCUUUGUGAAUGAGAAGAGGACAGAAAAGUAGCAAGGAAGAAAUACACAGAAAACAGGCCUCAGAGAGCUACAGACAACUUUCCAAGGAGGGUUCUGAGAGAGAGGUGCAGGGGACUGCAAGUCUUCAAAGCCCAUGGUCUGUGGUCCAAGAGCCAAAAACAGUCACAAACUUUUCAACCGUUUGGAUGAAAAACUACAGCUCAUCUUGCUACUGCUUAUUCUUCAACAGUUUACUUUCUUAUCUUCAUUAGUCUCCCUGCCCCAGUGGGAAGUCACUUCAUUCAGCCAAUGAGGUAAAUUUUGUGGGUGAUUGCACAGAAUGAUUAUAAUGAAUGGUGUUAGUAUUAAACAGUGU
Molecule: long non-coding RNA, 789 nt
Filed under: Apteryx rowi (Okarito brown kiwi)
Lineage: Eukaryota; Metazoa; Chordata; Aves; Apterygiformes; Apterygidae
Description: lncRNA (ENSARWG00000005982.1)
Source: RNAcentral